Molecule: ribosomal RNA, 467 nt
Filed under: uncultured bacterium
Lineage: Bacteria
Description: partial 16S ribosomal RNA
Rfam family: Bacterial small subunit ribosomal RNA
Source: RNAcentral
GACGAACGCUGGCGGCGUGCUUAACACAUGCAAGUCGAACGGAAAGGCCCUGCUUUUGUGGGGUGCUCGAGUGGCGAACGGGUGAGUAACACGUGAGUAACCUGCCCUUGACUUUGGGAUAACUUCAGGAAACUGGGGCUAAUACCGGAUAGGAGCUCCUGCUGCAUGGUGGGGGUUGGAAAGUUUCGGCGGUUGGGGAUGGACUCGCGGCUUAUCAGCUUGAUGGUGGGGUAGUGGCUUACCAAGGCUUUGACGGGUAGCCGGCCUGAGAGGGUGACCGGCCACAUUGGCAUGGGGGAAGGGCCAGGACUCAUACGGGCGGCAGCGGUGGGGAAUUUUGCACAAUGGGCGGAGGCAGGAUGGAGCAACGCCGGGUGGGGGAUGACGGCUUCGGGUUGUAAACCGCUUUCGCCUGUGACGAAGCGUGAGUGACGGUAAUGGGUAAAGAAGCACCGGCUAACUACGUG